Molecule: ribosomal RNA, 1708 nt
Filed under: Amia calva (bowfin)
Lineage: Eukaryota; Metazoa; Chordata; Actinopteri; Amiiformes; Amiidae
Description: 16S ribosomal RNA
Rfam family: Bacterial large subunit ribosomal RNA (bases 99-1628)
Source: RNAcentral
GCUGAAUAUCUAGCUUAACCACAAAAUACCCAAAUACACAUAUAUAAAUACCCUCACAUACCAUUAAACUAAACCAACCAAACCAUUUUCCCUCCCUAGUAUAGGCGAUAGAAAAGGAUCCUCUAAAGCUAUAGAAAAAGUACCGCAAGGGAACGAUGAAAGAGAAGUGAAAUAACCCGUUAAAGCACCAAAAAGCAAAGAUUAAAUCUUGUACCUUUUGCAUCAUGAUUUAGCCAGACACACCCAGGCAAAAAGAAUUUUAGUCUGUACCCCCGAAACUAAACGAGCUACUUCGAGACAGCCUCCUAGGACCAACCCGUCUCUGUGGCAAAAGAGUGGGAAGAUCUCCAAGUAGUGGUGACAGACCUAACGAGUUUAGUUAUAGCUGGUUGCUUAGGAAAUGGAUACAAGUUCAGCUUUAAGGAUACUCAAACCAACUAUAGUGUUACCACCAAAGAUAUAAAGUUAGCCUUAAAAGUUAUUCAAAGGAGGUACAGCUCCCUUGAAAAAGAACACAACCUUAAAAUGUGGAUAAAGAUCAUAAUGAUAAAAGGACCCCUACUUCAGUGGGCCUGAAAGCAGCCAUCUGAAAAGAAAGCGUUAAAGCUCAAGCAGGACAUACCCAAUUAUACCGAUAACCAAUCUCACUCCCCUCUAACUACUAAGCUGUUCUAUAAGUAUAGAAGUAAUAAUGCUAAAAUUAGUAAUAAGAAGGCACGACCUUCUCCAAGCAUCCCUGCAAGUCAGACCGGACUCCCCACUGACAAAUAACGAACUCACACAAAGAGAGAAUUACACAAAUAGCACGACAUACUAGAAGACCCUGUAAUAAUUAUCGUUACCCCUACACAGGAGUGCACCCAAGGAAAGACUAAAAGAAAAGAAAGGAACUCGGCAAACACGAGCCUCGCCUGUUUACCAAAAACAUCGCCUCUUGCAAUCCCCAAGUAUUAGAGGUCCCGCCUGCCCAGUGAAAAAUUUUUAACGGCCGCGGUAUUUUGACCGUGCGAAGGUAGCGUAAUCACUUGUCUUUUAAAUAAAGACCUGUAUGAAUGGCAUCACGAGGGCUCAUCUGUCUCUCUUUUCCAGUCAAUGAAAUUGAUCUGCCCGUGCAGAAGCGGGCAUAUGCCCAUAAGACGAGAAGACCCUAUGGAGCUUUAAACAAAGAAUCAACCAUGCACACAAGUUUAUCCCCCGACAUGAAAUAAACAACUCAAGCACAUUGGCCUUCUGAUUCUACGUUUUCGGUUGGGGCGACCAAGGAGAAAAACAAACCCUCCAUGUCGACUGGGAAUACUUUAAUAUAAUUCCCAAAACUAAGAGCCACCACUCUAAGUAACAGGACACCUGACGAACAAUGACCCAGGCAUACCAAGCCUGAUCGACGAACCAAGUUACCCUAGGGAUAACAGCGCAAUCCUUUCCCAGAGCCCAUAUCGACGAAAGGGUUUACGACCUCGAUGUUGGAUCAGGACAUCCUAAUGGUGCAGCCGCUAUUAAGGGUUCGUUUGUUCAACGAUUAAAGUCCUACGUGAUCUGAGUUCAGACCGGAGUAAUCCAGGUCAGUUUCUAUCUAUGAAGUGGUUCCCCCUAGUACGAAAGGACCGGGAGAACAGAGGCCCAUGCUAAAAGUACGCCCUAUCCCCACCUAAUGAAAUCAACUAAAAUAGGAAAAAGGACACACCACCCUUAUCCAAAACAAGGAUAA